This 623-nucleotide ribosomal RNA is filed under the name uncultured bacterium. RNAcentral's name for it is "bacterial SSU rRNA". It matches the Rfam family "Bacterial small subunit ribosomal RNA", at positions 35 to 690 of the family's 1533-position model. The record is from RNAcentral.
GCUGGCGGCGUGCCUAACACAUGCAAGUCGAACGAGAAAGUGGAGCAAUCCAUGAGUAAAGUGGCGACCGGGUGAGUAACACGUGACUAACCUACCCUCGAGUGGGGAAUAACUCCGGGAAACCGGGGCUAAUACCGCAUAACAUCGCAAGAUCAAAGCAGCAAUGCGCUUGAGGAGGGGGUCGCGGCUGAUUAGCUAGUUGGCGGGGUAACGGCCCACCAAGGCGAAGAUCGGUAUCCGGCCUGAGAGGGCGCACGGACACACUGGAACUGAAACACGGUCCAGACUCCUACGGGAGGCAGCAGUGGGGAAUUUUGCGCAAUGGGGGAAACCCUGACGCAGCAACGCCGCGUGGAGGAUGAAGCCCUUUGGGGCGUAAACUCCUUUCGACUCGGACGAUAAUGACGGUACGAGUGGAAGAAGCACCGGCUAACUCUGUGCCAGCAGCCGCGGUAAUACAGAGGGUGCGAGCGUUGUUCGGAAUUAUUGGGCGUAAAGGGCGCGUANGCGGUGCGGUAAGUCACCUGUGAAAUCUCCUGGCUUAACUGGGAGCCUGCAGGCGAAACUAACGUGCUGGAGUGUGGGAGAGGUGCGUGGAAUUCCCGGUGUAGCGGUGAAAUGCG